GCCGACCUGGUCGAGCAGGCCGCCCCGGGGGUAGUCAAUAUAUCCACCACGCGUACUUUGGAGCGUGGCCAGGCGUUCGAGGGGUUCGGUGGGCA
This 95-nucleotide transfer RNA is filed under the name Halomonas chromatireducens. Its description in RNAcentral is "tRNA-Leu". Lineage: Bacteria; Pseudomonadati; Pseudomonadota; Gammaproteobacteria; Oceanospirillales; Halomonadaceae. The record is from RNAcentral.